Molecule: ribosomal RNA, 119 nt
Filed under: Vigna radiata var. radiata (mung bean)
Lineage: Eukaryota; Viridiplantae; Streptophyta; Magnoliopsida; Fabales; Fabaceae
Source: RNAcentral
AGGUGCGAUCAUACCAGCACUAAUGCACCGGAUCCCAUCAGAACUUUGCAGUUAAGCGUGCUUGGGCGAGAGUAGUACUAGGAUGGGUGACCUCUUGGGAAGUCCUCGUGUUGCACCUC